This is a long non-coding RNA of Stylophora pistillata, 548 nucleotides long. NCBI's taxonomy places the organism in Eukaryota, Metazoa, Cnidaria, Anthozoa, Scleractinia, Pocilloporidae. The record is from RefSeq and is a predicted model, not a curated record.
UCUAACUGCUCACUUCUUAUCAGACGGGUUUGAGCUUUUUCAAGGAGACAUCCUAAUGACGGACGACAUACGUGACGAAUUGCGUGACAUGGGUUUGUUUCCACCGCGUGACAGCCCAAACAGUCCUUCGAGGCUUGACAGCCCAACCAGUACGGGACCAAGGCGUAAACGGGCUGCCAUUUCAAACAUUGCACGGCGAUGGAUUGAAAGCAAUAAUAAGCCAGAGAUCCCCUACCAACUCGAGUCCAGCGUGCGUCACGCUCAUCGAGUGAUCAAAUAAGGGAUAGAUCAUUGGGUCCGAUACGUGCCAUGCCUGCGUUUUGUCCCGCGAACGAAUCAACGGUCUUACAUCAGUUUUUUCGCCGGUGGAGGUUGUUUUUCGCACGUUGGAAGACAAGGAGGUGCCCGACGAAUUUCAAUAGCCCGAGCAUGUGAAUACCUACAUAUCGUUGUCCGCGAAAUUGGUCAUGCUCUUGGGUUCUGGCCCGAACAGUCUCGGCCCGACCGAGAGAGCUAUGUAAACAUUUACUGGAACAAUAUUUACCCUC